GACGAACGCUGGCGGCGUGCUUAACACAUGCAAGUCGAACGGAAAGGCCCUGCUUUUGUGGGGUGCUCGAGUGGCGAACGGGUGAGUAACACGUGAGUAACCUGCCCUUGACUUUGGGAUAACUUCAGGAAACUGGGGCUAAUACCGGAUAGGAGCUCCUGCUGCAUGGUGGGGGUUGGAAAGUUUCGGCGGUUGGGGAUGGACUCGCGGCUUAUCAGCUUGUUGGUGGGGUAGUGGCUUACCAAGGCUUUGACGGGUAGCCGGCCUGAGAGGGUGACCGGCCACCUUGGGCCUGCGAUACGGCCCAGACUCCUGCGGGAGGCAGCAGUGGGGAAUAUUGCACAAUGGGCGGAAGCCUGAUGCAGCAACGCCGCGUGCGGGAUGACGGCCUUCGGGUUGUAGACCGCUUUCGCCUGUGACGAAGCGUGAGUGACGGUAAUGGGUAAAGAAGCACCGGCUAACUACGUG
This 468-nucleotide ribosomal RNA is filed under the name uncultured bacterium. RNAcentral describes it as "partial 16S ribosomal RNA". It matches the Rfam family "Bacterial small subunit ribosomal RNA", at positions 28 to 507 of the family's 1533-position model. The record is from RNAcentral.